UAAGAAGUAGGUAAAAGUAAUACCAUGGAAAUUUGGGUUCCAAAUUAAGAGCUCAACUCUCUUCUCCUUAU
Molecule: transfer RNA, 71 nt
Filed under: Ophiacantha linea
Lineage: Eukaryota; Metazoa; Echinodermata; Ophiuroidea; Amphilepidida; Ophiacanthidae
Description: tRNA-Gln
Source: RNAcentral